AGCGAACGCUGGCGGCAGGCUUAACACAUGCCAGUCGAGCGGGCACUUUCGGGUGUCCGCGGCGGACGGGUGUGUAACGCGUGGGAACGUGCCCUCUGGUUCGGAAUAACUCAGGGAAACUUGAGCUAAUACCGGAUACGCCCUUUUGGGGAAAGGCUUGCUGCCGGAGGAUCGGCCCGCGUCUGAUUAGCUAGUUGGUGGGGUAACGGCUCACCAAGGCGACGAUCAGUAGCUGGUCUGAGAGGAUGAUCAGCCACACUGGGACUGAGACACGGCCCAGACUCCUACGGGAGGCAGCAGUGGGGAAUAUUGGACAAUGGGCGCAAGCCUGAUCCAGCCAUGCCGCGUGAGUGAUGAAGGCCUUAGGGUUGUAAAGCUCUUUUAUCCGGGACGAUAAUGACGGUACCGGAGGAAUAAGCCCCGGCUAACUUCGUG
This 435-nucleotide ribosomal RNA is filed under the name uncultured bacterium. RNAcentral's name for it is "partial 16S ribosomal RNA". It matches the Rfam family "Bacterial small subunit ribosomal RNA", at positions 29 to 507 of the family's 1533-position model. The record is from RNAcentral.